This 52-nucleotide non-coding RNA is filed under the name Pseudomonas veronii. Its description in RNAcentral is "mini-ykkC". It matches the Rfam family "Guanidine-II riboswitch aptamer (mini-ykkC)". From Rfam's summary of the family: Simpler in structure and has fewer highly conserved nucleotide positions than the ykkC-yxkD leader. Despite this each of its two stem-loop structures directly bind free guanidine. Lineage: Bacteria; Pseudomonadati; Pseudomonadota; Gammaproteobacteria; Pseudomonadales; Pseudomonadaceae. The record is from RNAcentral.
CCGCGGGGACGACCCCGCGACGCUAUCGCGUACACAUCAGGGGACGACCCCG